UACAGAGGUCUCAAGCGUUGUUCGGAUUCAUUGGGCGUAAAGGGUGCGUAGGCGGCGCGGUAAGUCGGGUGUGAAAUCUCGGGGCUUAACUCCGAAACUGCAUUCGAUACUGCCGUGCUUGAGGACUGGAGAGGAGAGUGGAAUUCCUGGUGUAGCGGUGAAAUGCGCAGAUAUCAGGAGGAACACCCGUGGCGAAAGCGGCUCUCUGGGACGGUACUGACGCUGAGACGCGAAAGCGUGGGGAGCAAACAGG
RNAcentral lists this ribosomal RNA (253 nucleotides) under uncultured bacterium. Its description in RNAcentral is "partial 16S ribosomal RNA". It matches the Rfam family "Bacterial small subunit ribosomal RNA", at positions 524 to 776 of the family's 1533-position model. The record is from RNAcentral.